RNAcentral lists this small RNA (546 nucleotides) under Pongo abelii (Sumatran orangutan). RNAcentral describes it as "processed transcript". Lineage: Eukaryota; Metazoa; Chordata; Mammalia; Primates; Hominidae. The record is from RNAcentral.
ACAUCAGGUCCCGGCCCGCCGGAACCUGGGAGAUCCACGAUGCCGAGUUUGCCACGCUGCGACAGCCCAUAGGCUUGCCCCCCGGGCAUUCGGGUGGACUACGAACACAAACUGAAGCCCUACGACUUGUCGCCCGUUUGCGCUCUCGCCGAGGCACAGGCUGCUCGUGGACCACCCUGCUCCGAAAACUAAGCAGACUGUCGGCAGGUCUUUGAGCAACUGGCGUGUGAAAUGGGACGGACGUCAAAGGACAAGCGGGAUGUCUACUACCGCCUGGCCAAGGAGAAUGGCUGGCGUGCUCGCAGCGCCUUCAAACUGCUACAACUGGAUAAGGAAUUCCAACUCUUCCAAGGCGUGACACGGGCAGUUGACCUGUGUGCAGCCCCGGGCAGCUGGAGCCAGGUGCUGAGCCAGAAGAUUGGGGGCCAAGGGUCCGGCCACGUGGUGGCUGUGGACCUGCAGGCUAUGGCUCCACUACCAGGUGUGGUACAGAUCCAGGGGGACAUCACCCAGCUGUCCACUGCCAAGGAGAUCAUCCAGCACUUU